ACAACUUUUAACAAUGGAUCUCUUGGCUCUCGCAUCGAUGAAGAACGCAGCGAAAUGCGAUAAGUAAUGUGAAUUGCAGAAUUCAGUGAAUCAUCGAAUCUUUGAACGCACCUUGCGCUCUCUGGUAUUCCGGGGAGCACACCUGUUCGAGUGUCA
Molecule: ribosomal RNA, 156 nt
Filed under: Hydnum albidum
Lineage: Eukaryota; Fungi; Basidiomycota; Agaricomycetes; Cantharellales; Hydnaceae
Also listed under: 1 other name
Description: 5.8S ribosomal RNA
Rfam family: 5.8S ribosomal RNA
About the family: 5.8S ribosomal RNA (5.8S rRNA) is a component of the large subunit of the eukaryotic ribosome.
Source: RNAcentral